AGAGUUUGAUCCUGGCUCAGAUUGAACGCUGGCGGCAGGCCUAACACAUGCAAGUCGAGCGGAUGACAGGAGCUUGCUCCUGAAUUCAGCGGCGGACGGGUGAGUAAUGCCUAGGAAUCUGCCUGGUAGUGGGGGACAACGUCUCGAAAGGGACGCUAAUACCGCAUACGUCCUACGGGAGAAAGCAGGGGACCUUCGGGCCUUGCGCUAUCAGAUGAGCCUAGGUCGGAUUAGCUAGUUGGUGAGGUAAUGGCUCACCAAGGCGACGAUCCGUAACUGGUCUGAGAGGAUGAUCAGUCACACUGGAACUGAGACACGGUCCAGACUCCUACGGGAGGCAGCAGUGGGGAAUAUUGGACAAUGGGCGAAAGCCUGAUCCAGCCAUGCCGCGUGUGUGAAGAAGGUCUUCGGAUUGUAAAGCACUUUAAGUUGGGAGGAAGGGCAUUAACCUAAUACGUUAGUGUUUUGACGUUACCGACAGAAUAAGCACCGGCUAACUCUGUGCCAGCAGCCGCGGUAAUACAGAGGGUGCAAGCGUUAAUCGGAAUUACUGGGCGUAAAGCGCGCGUAGGUGGUUUGUUAAGUUGGAUGUGAAAGCCCCGGGCUCAACCUGGGAACUGCAUUCAAAACUGACAAGCUAGAGUAUGGUAGAGGGUGGUGGAAUUUCCUGUGUAGCGGUGAAAUGCGUAGAUAUAGGAAGGAACACCAGUGGCGAAGGCGACCACCUGGACUGAUACUGACACUGAGGUGCGAAAGCGUGGGGAGCAAACAGGAUUAGAUACCCUGGUAGUCCACGCCGUAAACGAUGUCAACUAGCCGUUGGGAGCCUUGAGCUCUUAGUGGCGCAGCUAACGCAUUAAGUUG
RNAcentral lists this ribosomal RNA (864 nucleotides) under uncultured Gammaproteobacteria bacterium. RNAcentral describes it as "bacterial SSU rRNA". It matches the Rfam family "Bacterial small subunit ribosomal RNA", at positions 8 to 867 of the family's 1533-position model. Lineage: Bacteria; Pseudomonadati; Pseudomonadota; Gammaproteobacteria. The record is from RNAcentral.